CGGUAUAUUGACCGUGCGAAGGUAGCAUAAUAAUUAGUCUUUUAAUUGAAGACUGGAAUGAAAGGUUGAACAAGAAGUUAGCUGUCUCUAAAUUAAAUUUUGAAUUUAACAUUUAAGUGAAAAGGCUUAAAUAUUUUAAAGGGACGAUAAGACCCUAUAAAUCUUUAUACUUGAUUUUAUAGAGCAAAAUAUUAAAAUAAUUUUUGUUCAAUAGGUUUGGGUAUUUUGUUGGGGCGACAGGAGUAUAAAAUGUAACUGCUCUAAAAUGAUAGUUAGUUGAUAUUUAGUUAAGUGAUCCUUUAAUAAAGAUGUUAGUUUAAGUUACUUUAGGGAUAACAGCGUAAUUUUUUUUGAGAGUCCAUAUCGAAAAAAAAGUUUGCGACCUCGAUGUUGAAUUAAAGAUCCUUUACGGUGCAGAAG
RNAcentral lists this ribosomal RNA (420 nucleotides) under Scyllarus subarctus. Its description in RNAcentral is "partial 16S ribosomal RNA". It matches the Rfam family "Bacterial large subunit ribosomal RNA", at positions 1934 to 2561 of the family's 2925-position model. The record is from RNAcentral. Lineage: Eukaryota; Metazoa; Arthropoda; Malacostraca; Decapoda; Scyllaridae.